GUAAGGUGUUAAGUGAUUAUCACCCAGUAGUGAUGAAGUGGUGAUCACCCAAAAUUUAGGAAUCACCUAUGGUGAUCACCUUGAUUGUCACCAACUAUGAGAUUGAGCUAACUUCACUCAAUUAUCUCCCAUCCGUCAUCAAAUGUCAAAAUAACGUACGUUCACACGAUACAUCACCUUCUGUCAACAGGACAGAACGUCAACGCCACGUCAUUGUUCCGUCAGAAUAAGUUGAAUUCAUUCUUCAUGUACACAUUCAAUUAUUCCGUACAUCAAAGGUUCCAUGCCGAUGAUUACGUGUCUGAAUGUUUCCAUAGGAAUUUCAUGUCGCUAAUUUUGACGUUCCGUUGACGUUUUGUACCGGCAACGAAAGACUGACGGAUCAUGUAAAUGGUACCUAAAACAUUUGUUGUUUUUUGCAGAAGAAAAAAAACAAUUCGAUUUACAUUUUUCUAGCCAUUCUUUAAAAGUUACAAAAACGACGAAAACCCUUCGAUAAUCGAUGGAUGCAGUUACAGAAAUCGGACCGGUAGUGAAGCUACAAGGCAUCUACCAAUUACUAUAAUUUGGAGAGCCUUUGUGUCGGUUAUGCUUUUCGGAACGAAACGACGUGUUACUGUUCCCAGCGGAAAUUUCGUUACUGCCCCGGAGUGAAGAUUUGUAUCUUGGGUGGAUUACCGGGGGUUUGCGGCUCAUAGAAUGCGUUCCUCAAACAGAUAUACCAAUUUCAGACCCAAAUCCGGCAUUGUGAUGAAAUAAUUUGCGCGAAAUGAAAUCAGUUGAGGCAGAUUAAUGUAAAAGUGGAAAUGAGGGUAAAGGACGGUUGUGCAGGAACAUGUGUAUAUGUAAAAUCUCAGCAGGAGAACAGGAGGAAUAUGUUGCGUAUGAUUGUCUCACACAGAGCAGUUCCAUAGUAGAUUCCAUCGAAAAUUUUAAUGGAAUUGACGAGCUGAUACGCACGUUUCAGGGUGACUUGGAGUACCAGACCUUACUAAAAAUUGGAACCCUCCGUGGCAGCCAAUGCUAGUAAGGAACAACGUUGCAUGGUACGCGGACCUAUAUUAAAAGUUCUGGUUGGUUCAUCUGGGAAAUCCCACAGAGGUGCGUUCGUACCAGUGGCUCGAUUGUUUGGAACAGUUCUGCAAGAAAACGAUCCCUUGUCAGACGCAUAAAGUGGUUCAUGAAUUCCAACAUGCGCCGGUAUAAGUUUGCCUCUUACCUAAAACCUUCCAGAGUUAACAAAACGGACGACGAUCGAGUCGAAUAUUAUACACUCAAGGUUGAUAAGUUAUCUGUAAAUCAAUCGAUUAUGGUUGAAGAAAACGAAGAGUUGGGUGAAAUUUGCAUAAUUAUAGAGCGAUUCUUAAACGCUUCCGAAUACUGCCGACUAGAAUUUUGCUGAAAAAUAUCGACGAUCAAUUUCAGGAUGACGCUAAUGAUGAGUUUCAGUAUAGUGUACCACGUUUGUUAUGCAGGAGGAAUUUUGACAACCAUCUCUGCUACUUAGAAAGUAUACUACAUCUGUCGUAGUCUUAAAUACAAGCACCACUAAUAUUAUGUCUUCAGUGCACGGAUUGUGAACAAAUCUGCGCGUAAAACCACAGAGGAACUUCCAAGACAAGCUAGAGCCAUGACGAAUCUUAUCGAACGAUGCCCUAGUGAAAAAUGGAAUUUUCGACUCUAAAUCAGAAACAGCGCACGAGUUAGAAGCGAGAACAUAAAGCCACCACCAAUUACAAUCUUCAUAUGGGGAAAGUUUGUCACAAGGGCACCAAAACAACACACAUAUGUAUGUUAUUUGGUGGAGACUACGCUAAACGAUGCAAUGGCCCAACGUCAUCCCAUAAACCCACACAAGUGUACGCAAUGCAAACAAUGUAAAACACGUAUACAUGUAAAACCGAACAUCGCCUAUAUUUGCACAUGCAUAUUUACCUUGAACUCUUUCGUCGGCGGUAGAACAUGCCAAUUUUCUGGAACAAAAUAGUGAGCCUCAUAAAGAGCAGAAACAAGAUCACUUGGACGUCAAUACGAGCGCAAGUUUUGUCACUACCGUUUCGCAAUAAAGUUCAGUUAAAAUGCACAUAGGAUGAAAGGAUAUUGCUUAGCGAGCAAUGUGUCGAAUGUGAUGAGUUUCCUCAUGCGAAAAUCAUUUGACAUUCGAGUGAACGCCAAGCACGACCAUCCGCCAGCACCACCCAACAAAAUUGCUCAUCGAUUUCAUCUAGUAUUAUGUAUCGGAUGAACGUCGUAGUCAUCGUGUACCUUCGACCGGAAGCGACUCUAAAAAACCUUUUUAAAUGUUGCGCUCAACGUGUGAUCUUUUGACAUGUUCAUCCCGUGUUGCUAUGUGACGGUCUGUGGAGUGGGAUGUUAUGGUUUAUCAAUUUUUUUAAUUUUUUUUUAAAUGUCGCAGUGCCUCCAAAAAUCAUGCCCAUCCGAUGAGUGAAUGCGCACUGCAAUCUCUU
Long non-coding RNA from Topomyia yanbarensis, 2468 nucleotides. RefSeq lists it as uncharacterized. The record is from RefSeq and is a predicted model, not a curated record. The transcript has 4 exons. Lineage: Eukaryota; Metazoa; Arthropoda; Insecta; Diptera; Culicidae.